Molecule: RNA transcript, 968 nt
Organism: Coccinella septempunctata (seven-spotted ladybird)
Lineage: Eukaryota; Metazoa; Arthropoda; Insecta; Coleoptera; Coccinellidae
Gene name: serine/arginine-rich splicing factor 7-like
Exons: 5
Source: RefSeq, a predicted model, not a curated record
UUCGCCGGCGUUUCUGUUAAAUAGAACUUCUUUGGACUCCGCGAGCCCUCAAGCUGACAGUGAAUUACAAGAUUUUUCUUGGAAAAGGACUAAUUUUGAGUUUUCAUCCUUGGUGUUCUCACAACAUAAAAUUAAACCCAUUCAGGGUUGGUUGUAGCUGAGAACAAGGGUGGUGAAAUGUCAAGAUAUAAUUUGGAUUGUAAGGUUUACGUUGGGGAUUUGGGUAAUAAUGCAUCCAAACAAGAACUAGAAGAUGCAUUUGGGUACUAUGGACCUCUUCGCAAUGUUUGGGUUGCAAGGAAUCCGCCUGGUUUUGCUUUCGUCGAAUUUGAGGAUGCUAGGGACGCCGAAGAUGCAGUUAGAGGCUUAGAUGGCAGAACAAUAUGUGGCCGAAGAGCAAGGGUAGAACUUUCCAGUGGAAAGAGUGGUGGUAGGUAUCGGGGGCCUCCACCUCGUUCUCGAGGUAGACCUUUUCAUCCUGAUGAUCGGUGUUAUGGAUGCGGUGAUCGAGGGCACUAUGCAAGAGAUUGUACAAGGCAAAAAAGAGGAGGUGGUAGCAGUAGACGUAGGUAUAGUCUUUGGCCGAUAGUCAGGUAAAGCAUAGUUCAGUUCAGACAAUCGUCUUGCCUCUCUCCACGACUACUCAGUGUGCUGCAUCGUAGAAUUACAUCGAUAGCAAUGUCUCCACGCGACACUUCUGCAAAACUGCAUAUUCCUUAAGAGAGACUUCUGAGUAUUGAGCCAAUGAAAACGAAAUAUCUACGAGAACUCUCGAGUCUAGCCCCUUCUACCUACUUGAUUGAAUGUUGAUUAUCACUACCUCCUCCUACAAUGUUUUCUACAGUUUGCGUCACGACAUGAUCACAAAUAAUGGUCUAGGUCCAGGUCAAGGAGCCGUGGCCGCUACAGGAGAUCCCGCUCCCGAAGCACCAAGUCCAGAAGCAGGUCCAGGAACCGCUCCAGAUCCC